Molecule: long non-coding RNA, 836 nt
Organism: Fundulus heteroclitus (mummichog)
Lineage: Eukaryota; Metazoa; Chordata; Actinopteri; Cyprinodontiformes; Fundulidae
Exons: 4
Source: RefSeq, a predicted model, not a curated record
ACCACAGAAUUAAUUUUAUUUUUUUCUUUAUUUUACAGUUGUUGCACAAGUGAGAAGUCUCAGGGAGGAGAGACUGGUGUCGAGUUCAGGGCCUCACCUGUUCUUGACAGUCCUGUCUCUGCUCACCAUGAGCCGCAUCUCCAAGCAGUCCAACAAUGCUCCACCACUAUACAAUGCACUGGUGAUUUUGGGGAUGUCGAAGAUGGAGGACUGGAUGGUCCUCCUGCAUCUUCUAGAGAAGGAGACUCCCACACUGGCCAGAACAGCAGAGUGGAAGAGACUGUCUUGUCCUCUACUGCCACAGCACAGAUCAUAAACAACCAAGAGGACUGCAAAGAAAGCGAGGCUGAUGUCCAAGACAACAUCCAACCUGCGUCUGAAAGUCAAGAUAAGACUCCCGAGAAAGAUUGCCCUUGAAGAGCUAACGCACCUGCCAUCAGGGCUUGCAAAAUGAUUCACAUUUCUUUAACUUUUCCACAUAUAGUCACAUUACAACCAAAAAUACAAAUACAUUUUAUUGGAGUCUUAUGUGAAAGACAAAGUGGUAUACAACUGUGAUGUAGCAAGAAACUAAUACAUGGUCUCUUUUUUUAACAAAUAAAAAACUGAAAAGAGCAACGUGCAAAAGUAUUCAGCACCCCCCAGUAAAUAUUUCUUGGAACCGCGUUGUGCUGUAAUUACAGCUGCAAGUCUCUGCCAGUUUUCCACGUCUUGUGACUGAAAUUUUUGGCCAUUCUUCUUUGCAAAUCAGUUCAAGCACAGUCAGAUUAGAUGUAGAGCGUUUGUGAAUAGCAGUUUUCAGACCUUAUCAGAUCCAAAGAUUCUUGAUUCGGUUU